UAGGAAUCUGCCCUAUAGAGGGGGAUAACCCGAGGAAACUCGGGCUAAUACCGCAUACCCUUUACGAAGGAAAGCUGGGGCAACCUGGCGCUAUAGGAGGAGCCUGCGUCUGAUUAGCUAGUUGGUGGGGUAAAAGCCUACCAAGGCGACGAUCGUUAGCCGGCCUGAGAGGGUGAUCGGCCACACUGGAACUGAGACACGGUCCAGACUCCGUACGGGAGGCAG
RNAcentral lists this ribosomal RNA (225 nucleotides) under uncultured bacterium. RNAcentral's name for it is "partial 16S ribosomal RNA". It matches the Rfam family "Bacterial small subunit ribosomal RNA", at positions 118 to 351 of the family's 1533-position model. The record is from RNAcentral.